GAGCCCGCGGGCACCGGCACAGCCUUAGCGUUGCUUUCUCUCGGGUGCAUGGAUUUACCGUGAUUCCCGCUGGAUUUUCCCGAGCUUUCGUUGUCCCUGCCCAUAGGGCUGCGACACUUUUCCUGCCCCUUUGGCAGGCGAGUCAUCAUUUUGGCUACCCCGAGUGCGGGCAGGUCGAGCUGCUCACACGCUGCACACGAUUUGUAACAGGCGUGUGAUUUGUGCCGCAGGAAGGACAACUCCGGAUCUCCACGGGCUGGAGGGCAGCAAAGCCAGCGGCACGACUCGGAGCGCCAGGGAGCCAGACGGAGCAAGGGAGCGAACACGUGGAAGCUCUGAGAAAAGCGCGUGGUCACUCAGUGGCUGAGGAAAGCGGGCAGAGAUUAACAUAAAUCAAUAAAUCAAUAAAUCAUUGUUUUAAAAAGCAGCGCGGGAGAGAUACAUUAGCAUGAAAAUACUGUUUCAUCAAAGAAGAAGGAAAUAUAUUUGAAAAGAGCUAGCCAACAUGGAAUCCUAAAAAGGCCCAGGCCUGGAGUGGAAAGAUUCCCAGGAGAAGGGAAAGGCUCAGCAAACUCCGGGCUGGUAACAACCUGGAGAGGUACAAACAAAGGCCAAGUUGAUCUUCAUAACACCAGCUGCUCUUCAGUGUUGAAGAACGUGGAGCCCAGCCCAGCCACAACUAGGCCUGAAACAGAGAUCAAGAACGAACACACAGAUAAACAAAAGAGUUUGCUUGGUGAGAACAAGGCCUUCAUGGUUUCUUCUACUGUUCUCCUUUUAUUCUCCAAUGAGAGAUGUUGGAGGUGUGGCUAAUGGUUAAAUGACAGCAGUUAAUUCACUUUAUUCUAUAAAAGCCUGGUCCCAUUUUUGAUUGGGGGUGGAUUUCCAUACACUUUCCCAGGAGGUUGCUGGACGUUCUCCUCUCCCACAUGGACACCUGCCAGAGAGACUGAUUCUUGAGAAUUACUAUUCACCCAAGAACACCAAGCUGUGGCCGGGCAAGAGUGAGAGAUAUUGACUCUUUCAUGGUCUUUAUUAGUAAACUUCAUAUUAAGUAAUCUUCAUCAUUAAGUUUAAGAUUGAUAAUUAACAUUCUAAGCCUAGUAUAAAACUUGAUACUAAGGAAGGUGCUAGCAUUUUAAUGGUUAACCUUUAUUGAUUUAUCCAAGUACUUAAAAGUUUGACUUAGAAAUAUGUUGUGCUGUUUGGUACACUUUGGCACAUGCCUUCCCUAAUCAUGGACCCCAACCACACCAUGUUUGUUUCCUAAGUUGCUUUAUCCUAUAGCUGUCUAUUAAAUGGAUCCUGUCA
Molecule: long non-coding RNA, 1311 nt
Organism: Apus apus (common swift)
Lineage: Eukaryota; Metazoa; Chordata; Aves; Apodiformes; Apodidae
Exons: 2
Source: RefSeq, a predicted model, not a curated record